This 492-nucleotide ribosomal RNA is filed under the name uncultured bacterium. Its description in RNAcentral is "partial 16S ribosomal RNA". It matches the Rfam family "Bacterial small subunit ribosomal RNA", at positions 28 to 507 of the family's 1533-position model. The record is from RNAcentral.
GAUGAACGCUAGCUACAGGCUUAACACAUGCCAGUCGAGGGGAAACGCCAUCGAAAGCUUGCUUUUGAUGUGCGUCGACCGGCGCACGGGUGAGUAACGCGUAUCCAACCUGCCCAUCACUUGGGAAUAACCUUGCGAAAGUAAGACUAAUACCCAAUGAUAUCCCACGAAGUCAUCGGAAUGGGAUUAAAGAUUUAUCGGUGAUGGAUGGGGAUGCGUCUGAUUAGCUUGUUGGCGGGGUAACGGCACACCAAGGCAACGAUCAGUAGGGGUUCUGAGAGGAAGGUCCACCACAUUGGAACUGAGACACGGUCCAAAAUCCUACGGGAGGCAGCAGUGAGGAACAUUGGGCACGGGGCGAGAGCCUGAACCAGCCAAGUAGCGUGCAGGAAGACGGCCCUAUGGGUUGUAAACUGCUUUUAUAAGGGAAUAAAGUGGGUCACGUGUGACUUUUUGCAUGUACCUUAUGAAUAAGGACCGGCUAAUUCCGUG